AAUAUUGGACAAUGGGGGCAACCCUGAUCCAGCCAUGCCGCGUGUGUGAAGAAGGCCUUCGGAUUGUAAAGCACUUUAGGUUGGGAGGAAGGGCUUGAGGUUAAUACCCGGAGGUUUUGACGUUACCAACAGAAUAAGCACCGGCGAACUCUUUCCCAGCAGCCGCGGUAAUACAGAGGGUGCAAGCGUUAACCGGAAUUACUGGGCGUAAAGCACGCGUAGGUGGUUCAGUAAGAAGGGUGUGAAAUCCCCCGGGUUAACAUGGGAAGUGCUUUCAUAACUGCUGAACUAGAGUACAGUAGAGGGUAGUGGAAUUUCCUGUGUAGCGGUGAAAUGCGUAGAUAUAGGAAGGAACACCAGUGGCGAAGGAGACUACCUGGACUGAUACUGACACUGAGGUGCGAAAGCGUGGGGAGCAAAC
Molecule: ribosomal RNA, 421 nt
Filed under: uncultured bacterium
Lineage: Bacteria
Description: partial 16S ribosomal RNA
Rfam family: Bacterial small subunit ribosomal RNA
Source: RNAcentral